Bos taurus (domestic cattle) is the source of this 1245-nucleotide long non-coding RNA. Lineage: Eukaryota; Metazoa; Chordata; Mammalia; Artiodactyla; Bovidae. The record is from Ensembl.
UUCCGGGAGGGAGCAGCCAUGUUGCAGUGAACCGACAACACCAAUAAUAUAAAGAACAAAUCCAGGAAGAAAUGGAACCAUACCCUGGAAGCUUGAAGUUACAGUGGUUCAUUUGGUCAACCUGCUCUGAAAAUAAAGGAAAAGAUUCUCAUGUUGAAGGUAGGGCAUGUGCCUGCAUUUUCUCUGCUUAAGCCACAGGGAUCUCAUUAAGGAUCGGGACACUAACACUGAUGGCUUCAUUUUGGGCACAACUCUCAGCAGGAAAGCCCCAUACAAAGACUGUAGCUCAACAGGCUCCUCUGUCCAUGGGAUUUUUCAAGGCAAGAAUACUGGAAUGGGUUACCGUUUCCUUCUCCAAGGGAUCUUCCAGACCCAGGAAUCGAACCCAGAUCUCCUGCAUCACAGGCAAAUUCCUGCAUUGCAGUCAUGUAUGGAUGUGAGCGUUGGACAAUAAAGAAAGCUGAGCGCCAAAGAAGUGAUGCUUUUGAAUUGUGGUGUUGGAGAAGACUCUUGAGAGUCCCUUGGACAGCAAGGAGAUCCAAUCAAUCCAUCCUAAAGGAAAUCAACCCUGAUAUUCAUUGGAAGGACUGAUGCUGAAGCUGAAGCUCCAAUACCAUGAUGUUCUGAUGCAAAGAACUGACUCAUUGGAAAAGACCCUGAUGCUGGGAAAGAUUGAGGGCAGGAGGAGAAGGGGAGGACAGAGGAUGAGAUGAUUGGAUGACAUCAUUGACUUGAUGCACAUGAGUUUGUGCAAGCUCCGGGAGUUGGUGAAGGACAGGGAAGCCUGACAUGCUGCAGUCCAUGGGGUCACAAAGAGUCAGACAUGACUGAGCCUCUGAACUGAACCAAAUACAAUGUAAAUGCUAUGUGCGUGCAUGCUGUCCUUCAGUUGUGUCCAACUCUCUGCGACCCCAUGGACUGUAGCCCACCCAGCUCCUCUGUCCAUGGGAUUCUCCAGGCAAUAAUACUGGAGUGGGUUGCCAUUUCCUCCCCCAGGGGAUCUUGCUGACCCAGGCAUCAAACCCAGGUCUCUUGUGUCUUCUGCAUUGGCAGGCAGGUUCUUUACCGCUAGAGCCAUGCUAUGUAAAUAGUUGCUAGUGCAUGCCAAAUUCAAGUUUUGCUUUUUGGAACUUCCUGGAAUCUUAAAAAAAUAUUUUUGACCCGCAGUGGUUGAAUCCACAGAUGUAGAACCUGUGGAUACAAGAGGCUGCCUAAAGCCUUCUGGUGAACCUUACCCCACUCUGC